UACGGGAGGCAGCAGUGGGGAAUAUUGCACAAUGGGCGCAAGCCUGAUGCAGCCAUGCCGCGUGUAUGAAAAGGCCUUCGGGUUGUAAAGUACUUUCAGUCGUGAGGAAGGUGUUAAGGUUAAUAACCUUAGCAAUUGACGUUAGCGACAGAAGAAGCACCGGCUAACUCCGUGCCAGCAGCCGCGGUAAUACGGAGGGUGCGAGCGUUAAUCGGAAUUACUGGGCGUAAAGGGCACGCAGGCGGUUAAUUAAGUUGGAUGUGAAAUCCCCGGGCUUAACCUGGGAAUGGCAUUCAAGACUGGUUAGCUAGAGUCUUGUAGAGGGGGUAGAAUUCCAUGUGUAGCGGUGAAAUGCGUAGAGAUGUGGAGGAAAUACCGGUGGCGAAGGCGGCCCCUGGACAAAGACUGACGCUCAUGUGCGAAAGCGUGGGGAGCAAACAGGGAUUAGAUACC
RNAcentral lists this ribosomal RNA (453 nucleotides) under uncultured bacterium. Its description in RNAcentral is "bacterial SSU rRNA". It matches the Rfam family "Bacterial small subunit ribosomal RNA", at positions 340 to 786 of the family's 1533-position model. The record is from RNAcentral.